UAGUAAUAGAUAUAUGCUUGAAACUUAAAAAAUUUGGCGGUAUUUUAAUCUGUUUAGAGGAAUUUGUAUAUUAAUCGAUAAACCCCGUUUUAUCUUACUAAAUUAUUUGUAUAUCGUUAUCAGCAGAAUAAAUUUUCAAAAUUUUAAAUUUAAUAAAAUGUUAAAUCAAGGUGCAGUUUAUAAUUUAGUUUAUAUGAAUUACAAUAAAAUUAUUUAGGAUUAAUAUGAAAGUGGAUUUAAUAGUAAAUUAAUUUUAAU
This 258-nucleotide ribosomal RNA is filed under the name Adoratopsylla intermedia copha. RNAcentral describes it as "partial 12S ribosomal RNA". The record is from RNAcentral. Lineage: Eukaryota; Metazoa; Arthropoda; Insecta; Siphonaptera; Hystrichopsyllidae.